GCUCAUGAUGAACGCUAGCUACAGGCUUAACACAUGCAAGUCGAGGGGCAGCAUUUCAGUUUGCUUGCAAACUGGAGAUGGCGACCGGCGCACGGGUGAGUAACACGUAUCCAACCUGCCGAUAACUCGGGGAUAGCCUUUCGAAAGAAAGAUUAAUACCCGAUGGCAUAAUUAGACCGCAUGGUCUUAUUAUUAAAGAAUUUCGGUUAUCGAUGGGGAUGCGUUCCAUUAGGCAGUUGGUGAGGUAACGGCUCACCAAACCUUCGAUGGAUAGGGGUUCUGAGAGGAAGGUCCCCCACAUUGGAACUGAGACACGGUCCAAACUCCUACGGGAGGCAGCAGUGAGGAAUAUUGGUCAAUGGGCGCAGGCCUGAACCAGCCAAGUAGCGUGAAGGAUGACUGCCCUAUGGGUUGUAAACUUCUUUUAUAUGGGAAUAAAGUUUUCCACGUGUGGAAUUUUGUAUGUACCAUAUGAAUAAGGAUCGGCUAACUCCGUGCCAGCAGCCGCGGUAAUACGGAGGAUCCGAGCGUUAUCCGGAUUUAUUGGGUUUAAAGGGGGCGUAGGUGGACAGUUAAGUCAGUUGUGAAAGUUUGCGGCUCAACCGUAAAAUUGCACCUGAUACUGGCUGUCUUGAGUACAGUAGAGGUGGGCGGAAUUCGUGGUGUAGCGGUGAAAUGCUUAGAUAUCACGAAGAACUCCGAUUGCGAAGGCAGCUCACUGGACUGCAACUGACACUGAUGCUCGAAAGUGUGGGUAUCAAACAGGAUUAGAUACCCUGGUAGUCCACACAGUAAACGAUGAAUACUCGCUGUUUGCGAUAUACAGUAAGCGGCCAAGCGAAAGCAUUAAGUAUUCCACCUGGGGAGUACGCCGGCAACGGUGAAACUCAAAGGAAUUGACGGGGGCCCGCACAAGCGGAGGAACAUGUGGUUUAAUUCGAUGAUACGCGAGGAACCUUACCCGGGCUUAAAUUGCAUUUGAAUAUAUUGGAAACAGUAUAGCCGUAAGGCAAAUGUGAAGGUGCUGCAUGGUUGUCGUCAGCUCGUGCCGUGAGGUGUCGGCUUAAGUGCCAUAACGAGCGCAACCCUUAUCUUUAGUUACUAACAGGUCAUGCUGAGGACUCUAGAGAGACUGCCGUCGUAAGAUGUGAGGAAGGUGGGGAUGACGUCAAAUCAGCACGGCCCUUACGUCCGGGGCUACACACGUGUUACAAUGGGGGGUACAGAAGGCAGCUACCUGGUGACAGGAUGCUAAUCCCAAAAGCCUCUCUCAGUUCGGAUCGAAGUCUGCAACCCGACUUCGUGAAGCUGGAUUCGCUAGUAAUCGCGCAUCAGCCAUGGCGCGGUGAAUACGUUCCCGGGCCUUGUACACACCGCCCGUCAAGCCAUGAAAGCCGGGGGUACCUGAAGUACGUAACCGCAAGGAGCGUCCUAGGGUAAAACUGGUA
RNAcentral lists this ribosomal RNA (1448 nucleotides) under uncultured organism. Its description in RNAcentral is "SSU rRNA". It matches the Rfam family "Bacterial small subunit ribosomal RNA". The record is from RNAcentral.